Molecule: ribosomal RNA, 992 nt
Filed under: uncultured bacterium
Lineage: Bacteria
Description: bacterial SSU rRNA
Rfam family: Bacterial small subunit ribosomal RNA
Source: RNAcentral
GCGGCGGACGGGUGAGUAACGCGUGAACAAUCUGUCCUAUACAGGGGGAUAAAACUUGGAAACAGGUGCUAAUACCGCAUAAGCCCACAGCCCGGCAUCGGGCAGGGGGAAAAGGGGCAACUCGGUAUAGGGUGAGUUCGCGUCCCAUUAGCUAGUUGGCGGGGUAACAGCCCACCAAGGCGACGAUGGGUAGCCGACCUGAGAGGGUGAUCGGCCACACUGGAACUGAGAAACGGUCCAGACUCCUACGGGAGGCAGCAGUGGGGAAUAUUGGGCAAUGGGGGAAACCCUGACCCAGCAACGCCGCGUGAGGGAAGAAGGCUUUCGGGUCGUAAACCUCUGUCCCAUGGGAAGAGAUAGAGACGGUACCAUGGGAGGAAGCCCCGGCUAACUACGUGCCAGCAGCCGCGGUAAUACGUAGGGGGCGAGCGUUGUCCGGAAUGACUGGGCGUAAAGGGCGCGUAGGUGGCCUUUCAAGUCUGGAGUGAAAGUCCCGUUUUUAAGGUGGGAAUGGCUUUGGAAACUGAGAGGCUUGAGUGUGGGAGAGGAUAGCGGAAUUCCCGGUGUAGCGGUGAAAUGCGUAGAGAUCGGGAGGAACACCAGUGGCGAAGGCGGCUAUCUGGACCAAGACUGACACUGAAGCGCGAAAGCGUGGGUAGCAAACAGGAUUAGAUACCCUGGUAGUCCACGCGGUAAACGAUGGAUGCUAGGUGUAGGAGGUAUCGACCCCUUCUGUGCCGGAGUCAACACAAUAAGCAUCCCGCCUGGGGAGUACGGCCGCAAGGUUGAAACUCAAAGGAAUUGACGGGGGCCCGCACAAGCAGCGGAGCAUGUGGUUUAAUUCGAAGCAACGCGAAGAACCUUACCAGGUCUUGACAUCGAUGGAACCUGUAGAGAUACGGGGUGCCCUUCGGGGCCCUGAAGACAGGUGGGUGCAUGGGUUGUCGUCAGCUCCGUGUCGUGAGAUGUUGGGGUUAAGUCCCGCAACGAGC